GAAUUGGUAUUUCAAAAUUUAAAAUAGCUCUAAUGAAUCAAGAAUCUGCAAAUAAAAAUGGCCCAAUCGAAGAAACAAACUAAUCAAUCAGAAAUGAAAACAUAAUGAUUAUUACUAGGUCACUAGGGUUAAACCAAAAAUUUCAGCUAGCAAUCAAGAGCUCAAGAAUAAACGCACUUCCAAGUGUAAGCAUAUAUAAGUAAAGCCAGCCUCCUCCAUCCAAUUGAUCCUCGAAUAGUUUAGACAGACGAGAAGAACAGGCAACAACAAAAACAAAAUCAUAGAAAAAUGAAGCAAAACCCAAAACCACAAACGCUAACCCUAGAGAGAGAGAGUAAGAAUUGAGAGUCGUUGAACAUUCAAGUUAAUCAUCAGAGAAAC
This 381-nucleotide unclassified non-coding RNA is filed under the name Hevea brasiliensis (rubber tree). The record is from RNAcentral. Lineage: Eukaryota; Viridiplantae; Streptophyta; Magnoliopsida; Malpighiales; Euphorbiaceae.